ACGAGUGGCGAACGGGUGAGUAAUGUAUCGGAACGUACCUUUCAGUGGGGGAUAACGUAGCGAAAGUUACGCUAAUACCGCAUAUUCUGUGAGCAGGAAAGCAGGGGAUCGCAAGACCUUGCGCUGAUUGAGCAGCCGAUAUCAGAUUAGCUAGUUGGUGAGGUAAAGGCUCACCAAGGCGACGAUCUGUAGCGGGUCUGAGAGGAUGAUCCGCCACACCGGAACUGAGACACGGUCCAGACUCCUACGGGAGGCAGCAGUGGGGAAUUUUGGACAAUGGGGGCAACCCUGAUCCAGCCAUGCCGCGUGAGUGAAGAAGGCCUUCGGGUUGUAAAGCUCUUUCGGCCGGGAAGAAAUCGUAUGGGUUAAUACCCUGUGCGGAUGACGGUACCGGCAUAAGAAGCACCGGCUAACUACGUGCCAGCAGCCGCGGUAAUACGUAGGGUGCGAGCGUUAAUCGGAAUUACUGGGCGUAAAGCGCGCGCAGGCGGUUUUGUAAGACAGGCGUGAAAUCCCCGGGCUCAACCUGGGAACUGCGCUUGUGACUGCAAGGCUAGAGUAUGGCAGAGGGGGGUGGAAUUCCACGUGUAGCAGUGAAAUGCGUAGAGAUGUGGAGGAACACCAAUGGCGAAGGCAGCCCCCUGGGCCAAUACUGACGCUCAUGCACGAAAGCGUGGGUAGCAAACAGGAUUAGAUACCCUGGUAGUCCACGCCCUAAAACGAUGUCAACUAGGUGUUGGGUGGGUAAAACCAUUUAGUACCGGAGCUAACGCGUGAAGUUGACCGCCUGGGGAGUACGGCCGCAAGGUUAAAACUCAAAGGAAUUGACGGGGACCCGCACAAGCGGUGGAUGAUGUGGAUUAAUUCGAUGCAACGCGAAAAACCUUACCUACCCUUGACAUGUCCAGGAGCCUGAAGAGAUUUGGGUGUGCCCGAAAGGGAACUGGAACACAGGUGCUGCAUGGCUGUCGUCAGCUCGUGUCGUGAGAUGUUGGGUUAAGUCCCGCAACGAGCGCAACCCUUGUCGUUAAUUGCCAUCAUUUAGUUGGGCACUUUAACGAGACUGCCGGUGACAAACCGGAGGAAGGUGGGGAUGACGUCAAGUCCUCAUGGCCCUUAUGGGUAGGGCUUCACACGUCAUACAAUGGUCGGUACAAAGGGUUGCCAACCCGCGAGGGGGAGCCAAUCCCAGAAAGCCGAUCGUAGUCCGGAUUGCAGGCUGCAACUUGCCUGCAUGAAGUCGGAAUCGCUAGUAAUCGUGGAUCAGCAUGUCACGGUGAAUACGUUCCCGGGUCUUGUACACACCGCCCGUCACACCAUGGGAGCGGGUUCCGCCAGAAGUAGGUAGCCUAACCGCAAGGGGGGCGCUUACCACGGCGGGGUUCGUGACUGGGGUGAAGUCGGAACAAGGUA
This 1413-nucleotide ribosomal RNA is filed under the name metagenome. Its description in RNAcentral is "bacterial SSU rRNA". It matches the Rfam family "Bacterial small subunit ribosomal RNA". The record is from RNAcentral.